RNAcentral lists this ribosomal RNA (369 nucleotides) under uncultured bacterium. RNAcentral describes it as "bacterial SSU rRNA". It matches the Rfam family "Bacterial small subunit ribosomal RNA", at positions 917 to 1289 of the family's 1533-position model. The record is from RNAcentral.
GGGCCCGCACAAGCGGUGGAGUAUGUGGUUUAAUUCGAUGCAACGCGAAGAACCUUACCAGGGUUUGACAUCCUGCGAAUCUCUUGGAAACGAGAGAGUGCCUUCGGGAGCGCAGUGACAGGUGGUGCAUGGCUGUCGUCAGCUCGUGUCGUGAGAUGUUGGGUUAAGUCCCGCAACGAGCGCAACCCACGUCUUUAGUUGCCAGCAUUAGUUGGGCACUCUAGAGAGACCGCCGGUGAUAAACCGGAGAAGGUGUGGAUGACGUCAAGUCAUCAUGGCCCUUACGAGUAGGGCUACACACGUGCUACAAUGGCGCAUACAGAGGGCAGCCAACUUGCGAGAGUGAGCGAAUCCCAAAAAGUGCGUCGU